CAACCCUCAAGCCCGGCUUGGCCUUGGGCGCCGCCAGCGAUGGCGCGCCCCAAACCCAGUGGCGGCGCCGUCUGGCCCUAAGCGUAGUAACUCAUCUCGCUACAGGUGCCCGGCGGACGCUGGCCAGCAACCCCCACUUCUCA
Molecule: unclassified non-coding RNA, 143 nt
Filed under: uncultured Helotiales
Lineage: Eukaryota; Fungi; Ascomycota; Leotiomycetes; Helotiales
Description: sequence contains ITS2
Source: RNAcentral